UUGGUCUCUUCUUUUUUCUUUUGUUUUUGUGAGCUGUUGGAGGAGCUCCAAAGUUUUCAGUGCGUUCCAUCGCCUGUGUGUGUGGCUGCGGGAUUUUCUUUUCGUUCCGUUGAGGUGCUACAGUGCAGCAUCCUCUUCUUUUGUAUUGUGAUCAGCGUGGAGCCGGAAAUUAGAAGCGACAGUGGUACCGCAGUGCGGUCGUAUUUUUAGGAAGGCUUUGUGUGAUUCUAAAACGCCGACAUUGCAGUGGCGACCUGCUUGUGGUUUUGGUGCGACUACAGCCACUAGAUUUGUGGCUCCUCGUUGUUUUUUCUGCUAGUUACCCCUGCAAUACGGAGGUGCGGCAUAGGCGGAGGUGCGACGCGGGUUGCUAUGAGCGGAAUUGCUAUCGGUGCAAUUUUGUCCACAACAACUAGGCGGUGGAUUCUCUAGUUCUUGGUGUAGAUGCGGCAUCCAGUGCGAAAGGCGGCGUGGUGCCCUUGCAUAUUGGCUUCAGUCCUUAUUGACACAGCGCAAGACGUGAAUAUUCAAGCUCAAUCGAGUGAACUGCACGAGACGAAUCAUCUCUAGACGUGAUAGAGGAUUUCGUAUUGAUCGGCUUUGCAAUAAUUCUAUUUGAUAGUUUGAUGCUUGAGGCGAAGUUGUGGCGGUAGCUUAAAGAGCAGCUUUAUGGAUUCUUUGAAUUUCCUAUCUGGCCAACUUUCUCAGAGGGUACCUUGACUCCUUUAUCCAUCCGACGGCGAGGAAUCCAGCUUCUGGCAAUCAGGGCUCUAUUGUUUCCACCUCAUGGCAAGAGAGCUGUAGGCGGCGAUUUGUUUUUUCUUCCAUUAUGGGGGUGAACAGGCAAAGUGGUGCAGUUCGGCUGGAGCAAACCAAACCAGCAUUAGAGGCAACGGUUUUACAUGUGCCAAUAGCUUCGAAGGUGGCUUCUAAUUAAAGUUCAAAAGGCAGUUUUUAUCUACUCCACAUGUUGUGAGUGCAUAUCUUAAUUAGAAUUGAUUACUAAGAAAACUUCACUUGUGGAUUGGACUUCAUCUGGUGAAUAAAUUUGUGGUUGAGAUAUUUAAUUGUAA
Non-coding RNA from Physcomitrium patens, 1073 nucleotides. Lineage: Eukaryota; Viridiplantae; Streptophyta; Bryopsida; Funariales; Funariaceae. The record is from RefSeq and is a predicted model, not a curated record.